Pleurotus ostreatus PC15 is the source of this 103-nucleotide transfer RNA. It matches the Rfam family "tRNA". Rfam says of the family: Transfer RNA (tRNA) molecules are approximately 80 nucleotides in length. Their secondary structure includes four short double-helical elements and three loops (D, anti-codon, and T loops). The record is from Rfam. NCBI's taxonomy places the organism in Eukaryota, Fungi, Basidiomycota, Agaricomycetes, Agaricales, Pleurotaceae.
GGGCACUUAGCACAGGGGUAGCGCGUUCGCUUCGCACAGAGUACCAGCCCGCCAGGCCCACAGUGCUUGCGAGAGGUCGUGGGUUCAAAUCCCACAGUGUCCA